GGCUGAGUGGCGCAACGGUAGCGCGUCUGAUUCCAGCAUAUAAGGAAUAUUUCCUUACAGUGGAGUCUCCAGAAGGUUAUCCGUUCGAAUCGGGUCUCGGUCA
RNAcentral lists this transfer RNA (103 nucleotides) under Malassezia vespertilionis. It matches the Rfam family "tRNA". Rfam says of the family: Transfer RNA (tRNA) molecules are approximately 80 nucleotides in length. The record is from Rfam by way of RNAcentral. Lineage: Eukaryota; Fungi; Basidiomycota; Malasseziomycetes; Malasseziales; Malasseziaceae.